RNAcentral lists this ribosomal RNA (263 nucleotides) under uncultured archaeon. RNAcentral describes it as "partial 16S ribosomal RNA". It matches the Rfam family "Archaeal small subunit ribosomal RNA", at positions 748 to 1008 of the family's 1478-position model. The record is from RNAcentral.
CAGCCGUAAACGAUGCGUGUUAGGUGUAUCGAUGACCACGAGUCAUCGAGGUGCCGAAGGGAAACCGUGAAACGCGCCGCCUGGGAAGUACGGUCGCAAGGCUGAAACUUAAAGGAAUUGGCGGGGGGAGGCACCACAACAGGUGGAGCCUGCGGUUUAAUCGGACUCAACGCCGGAAAUCUCACCGGAUAGGACAGACAUAUGAUAGUCGGGCUGAAGACUCUACUUGAUGAUCUGAGAGGUGGUGCAUGGCGUCAGUGACU